GCGCAACCUUCUUUGCCCUGCUCAUCUGCUUCCUCCUCCUCGUACCAAAUAAGAUGCCAAUGGCUGAAGCUUCAUUUUGCAAGAGGCUUGCCAAGAACUGGUCCGGGAUUGUUCCUCUGACAGGUGCUACAAUUAUUGCAAGUAUACAGAGCAUGUUUACUCCGGAGAAUGUAAUUGGAAUGGCAAUGGUCAGCAUCGUUAUUAUGCUUGCUACUGUGUCUACAACUGUUGAAAGCCUACUAUUUUCUGCAAUUUGCAACGUACUUUGUAUUCAAAUAAAGGCGAACAAUUCACUAGAAUUGCAUAUGUGCCGCCAAUAGUUGUUGUUCCUAUGUCAGUUGCUAAUAACGUACGGUGCUGUCUGUGUUAUCAUUGAAAAAUCACUGCUCAGUGAUAACUUAAUCAGUCUAUCCAUGUGUGUCUGUUGCGAUCUGUCUUGUAUUCAUUUAAAUAUAAAUGGACUACCUCUGUCCAAGUAUAAGGGUCAUCUUCUGUGAUUUCAA
Molecule: non-coding RNA, 503 nt
Organism: Coffea arabica (coffee)
Lineage: Eukaryota; Viridiplantae; Streptophyta; Magnoliopsida; Gentianales; Rubiaceae
Source: RefSeq, a predicted model, not a curated record